This 735-nucleotide ribosomal RNA is filed under the name unidentified archaeon. RNAcentral's name for it is "bacterial SSU rRNA". It matches the Rfam family "Archaeal small subunit ribosomal RNA", at positions 123 to 859 of the family's 1478-position model. The record is from RNAcentral.
GGGAUAACCCCGGGAAACUGGGGAUAAUACCGGAUAGGUCAAACUUGCCGGAAGGCUGUUUGGCUGAAACUUCCGGGGCUUUUGGAUGGGUCUGCGGCUGAUUAGGUUGUUGCCGGUGUAACGUACCGUCAAGCCUGUAAUCAGUACGGGUUGUGGGAGCAAGAGCCCGGAGAUGGAUUCUGAGACACGAAUCCAGGCCCUACGGGGCGCAGCAGGCGCGAAAACUCUACAAUGCAGGCAACUGCGAUAGGGGAACAUCGAGUGGCGUCCAUAUUGGAUGUCUGUCCUCCCGCCUAAAAAGCGGGAGUUAGCAAGGGCCGGGCAAGACCGGUGCCAGCCGCCGCGGUAAUACCGGCGGCUCGAGUGGUGGCCGAUAUUAUCGAGUCUAAAGGGUCCGUAGCCGGCUUUGCAAGUCUCUCGGGAAAUCCAGCGGCUUAACCGUUGGUCGUCCGGGGGGUACUACAUUGCUUGGGACUGGGAGAGGUAGGAGGUACUCAGGGGGUAGGAGUGAAAUCCUGUAAUCCUUUGGGGACCACCGGUGGCGAAGGCGUCCUACCAGAACAGGUCCGACGGUGAGGGACGAAAGCUAGGGGCACGAACCGGAUUAGAUACCCGGGUAGUCCUAGCCGUAAACGAUGCUCGCUAGGUGUCACAACAGUCGUGAACUGUUGUGGUGCCGUAGGGAAGCCGUAAAGCGAGCCACUUGGGAAGUACGACCGCAAGGGUGAAACUUAA